Tetranychus urticae (two-spotted spider mite) is the source of this 2014-nucleotide long non-coding RNA. RefSeq lists it as uncharacterized. The record is from RefSeq and is a predicted model, not a curated record. Lineage: Eukaryota; Metazoa; Arthropoda; Arachnida; Trombidiformes; Tetranychidae.
UGUUGAUUCAAGAAUGGUCUCAAUGUUAUCUACCAAAUUGAAAGUGAUUUUGGCUCAACUUUUACACUUCCAGAAAUUACGUAAAAUCAAAGUGAAGCAAUAAGAUGUUGGCGAUUAAACCAUGCGUAACACUUGAAAUGUCUUAUUUUGCUGUUAACAAUCAUAAUCAAAAUGGAGGCUUGCCGUGUUGAAAUGAAAGGCUUUAGAGGUACCACUAAUGAUGAUUUCAGUUGAAAAUCAACUUUAAUGAUUGAUUAUUGCACGUUGAUUCAAAGACUGUGAUGUUGUUGAUGAUGUGCUAAAAAUCAUAAUCAUAAUGAUGUUGAUGAUGAACCUGAAUUGGGAACAAAAUAGGAAAAAUGGAUGAUCAAAGGUUGUUGGAAAAAAAAGAUUGGCAGACUACACUCUUCUGAAAAAGAUAUAUAAUAAUAACAAUGAUUAUCAAUCAGUGAAGAGUGAUGAAGUAAAGAAGCAAUUGAGAAGGCAACGAAAAAGAAUACGCUGAUGAUGAUGAUGAUAAGAAUGAAUGUACCUGAAUGGUCAAAGAUACACGAUGAAAUUACAAUCUAAAGGAUGUUUCAAUUGUUCACCAUCAAUCCAAGGAAUUUGCUAACAAAUUGAAACUUAAAUCAAACAUUGACAACUUGGAUUCACUUUGAAGAGAGAUAAUUUCACACUUUAAUCUUCGCCUUAAUCUUAACAAUUACCUUUCAAGUUUAGUGUCACCAUUAUUAUUAUCAUCAUCAUCAUUAUGAUAAUCAUUAUCAUCUCACUUACCUUUCCCUCCUUAUCACUAACUGAGAGAAAGAGUCGAUGUUAACGGACCGCUUAUAAUAAAUUUUUGAAAGUGAAAAAAAUAGCAAAAUCAAAAUAAUGCGAGAGGUUAAAAUGUUUUAUAACAUGAUAAACUAAAUCAUUACCAUUUGUAAUGUUCAGGUAACUUGUAAUUACAUCAAACAAUCUUAUUGCUUGAUAGCGUUUUCAUGUUGCCAGGAUUUGUAGUAUAUUUAGCUAUCUUCAGGUAACAUUUAUUACAGAGGGAAAAGAGAAGUGAGAAGAAGAUGAUGAUGAUGAAAUUGAUGAUAACAAAAUGAUUAUGAUGAAGAAAAGUCUGACCCUGGAUUCAUCAGAGCUGUUGAACAACGUGAUUGUCGUCAAUUUUAAUUCCAGUUUUAACGCCAUUGCCAUCAUCUUUACAUCAUUUUAAUCCAUAAUCAAGAAUAUUUCUUGGGCUGAUCUGGUUUCUUCUUAUCACCUUAACAUUGAUUACAUUGCUUGAACGACUUGAAGAUAUUAUCAGAAAAGGAACACGGAUUCAGUUAAUUGCAGCAAUACAUGAUUGGGUGGAUAAGCGAGUAAAUUAUUUACUUGAAUUUAACUUAAAGGGUUCAAAGUGAAAAUUAAUAACAAUAAUGAUGAAAAGCAACGAAACCUUUUCUCAUUGAGCCGCUGGAUUAAUGCCAUUGAAUUAGCCUUGUUAAGGGAAUGGUUAACAUGUUGAAUUGUACUUUAUAAACCUGUGAGAACGUGUUGACAACAACACUUUAAGCUAUGGUGAUGACGAUGAUGGUGAUGCCGAUGAGGCAUUGGGAGGUGACAAGGUUAGGUGAGGCGCCUUUAAAGACAAUAAACACAGUGGUUAACACACAGAGGCUGUGAAGAUGCAUCAAGAUGAAUAAAUAAGAGACAAGACAAUGAUGCCAGUGAUUAUUAUUAUAUCCAUUGAGUUUAAAAAAGGACGAAUCAAAAGGCAUCUUUUUCAAACACAAACGUAAACAAAAACGCAUCUCAAUCAAACCAAGGAAAGGACUGAAAGGAAGAUGAAAAUCAAAAUGGAUCAAAUUAACCAUUGGAAAGCGUUCAAAGUCAUCAACAUCAUCUUUUUCACAUUUAUCAUUUCAUCAACACCUACAGAAGCAAACGCAUUAUUAACAUGGUUAUAUUGUGUUGUGUAAAAUACAUUUCAGGAAUGAAUGGAAACAAAAAUCAAAUAGUAAACCAAAGCCAAUGUUAA